RNAcentral lists this unclassified non-coding RNA (479 nucleotides) under Candidatus Phytoplasma sacchari. RNAcentral describes it as "partial contains 16S ribosomal RNA, 16S-23S ribosomal RNA intergenic spacer, and 23S ribosomal RNA". The stretch from base 1 to 232 matches the Rfam family "Bacterial small subunit ribosomal RNA", at positions 1306 to 1533 of the family's 1533-position model. Lineage: Bacteria; Bacillati; Mycoplasmatota; Mollicutes; Acholeplasmatales; Acholeplasmataceae. The record is from RNAcentral.
UGCAACUCGACUUCAUGAAGUUGGAAUCGCUAGUAAUCGCGAAUCAGCAUGUCGCGGUGAAUACGUUCUCGGGGUUUGUACACACCGCCCGUCAAACCACGAAAGUUGGUAAUACUCAAAAACGGUAGCCUAACUUCUUCGGAAGAGGGAACCGUCUAAGGUAGGAUCGAUGAUUGGGGUUAAGUCGUAACAAGGUAUCCCUACCGGAAGGUGGGGAUGGAUCACCUCCUUUCUAAGGAAUAAUUUUUUAAAUAUUCAUCUUCAGUUUUGAAAGACUUAGUUCUUAUAAGUUUUUCUUUUUUAAGGAAAAGAAAAUGGGCCUAUAGCUCAGUUGGUUAGAGCACACGCCUGAUAAGCGUGAGGUCGAUGGUUCAAGUCCAUUUAGGCCCACCAACUGAAAAAAAGGUCUUUUUUCUAAUUCUUAAAAAAAAAGUUCUUUGAAAAGUAGAUAAACAAAGUAUUUUUAAAAAUCAAAGAAU